CCCAGUGUGUUUCGACACACUAUCAUUAACUGAAUCCAUAGGUUAAUGAGGCGAACCGGGGGAACUGAAACAUCUAAGUACCCCGAGGAAAAGAAAUCAACCGAGAUUCCCCCAGUAGCGGCGAGCGAACGGGGAGGAGCCCAGAGCCUGAAUCAGUGUGUGUGUUAGUGGAAGCGUCUGGAAAGGCGCGCGAUACAGGGUGACAGCCCCGUACACAAAAAUGCACAUAUUGUGAGCUCGAUGAGUAGGGCGGGACACGUGGUAUCCUGUCUGAAUAUGGGGGGACCAUCCUCCAAGGCUAAAUACUCCUGACUGACCGAUAGUGAACCAGUACCGUGAGGGAAAGGCGAAAAGAACCCCGGCGAGGGGAGUGAAAAAGAACCUGAAACCGUGUACGUACAAGCAGUGGGAGCCUCUUAAUGGGGUGACUGCGUACCUUUUGUAUAAUGGGUCAGCGACUUAUAUUCUGUAGCAAGGUUAACCGAAUAGGGGAGCCGAAGGGAAACCGAGUCUUAACUGGGCGUUAAGUUGCAGGGUAUAGACCCGAAACCCGGUGAUCUAGCCAUGGGCAGGUUGAAGGUUGGGUAACACUAACUGGAGGACCGAACCGACUAAUGUUGAAAAAUUAGCGGAUGACUUGUGGCUGGGGGUGAAAGGCCAAUCAAACCGGGAGAUAGCUGGUUCUCCCCGAAAGCUAUUUAGGUAGCGCCUCGUGAAUUCAUCUCCGGGGGUAGAGCACUGUUUCGGCAAGGGGGUCAUCCCGACUUACCAACCCGAUGCAAACUGCGAAUACCGGAGAAUGUUAUCACGGGAGACACACGGCGGGUGCUAACGUCCGUCGUGAAGAGGGAAACAACCCAGACCGCCAGCUAAGGUCCCAAAGUCAUGGUUAAGUGGGAAACGAUGUGGGAAGGCCCAGACAGCCAGGAUGUUGGCUUAGAAGCAGCCAUCAUUUAAAGAAAGCGUAAUAGCUCACUGGUCGAGUCGGCCUGCGCGGAAGAUGUAACGGGGCUAAACCAUG
Molecule: ribosomal RNA, 1021 nt
Filed under: Escherichia coli
Lineage: Bacteria; Pseudomonadati; Pseudomonadota; Gammaproteobacteria; Enterobacterales; Enterobacteriaceae
Description: partial 23S ribosomal RNA
Rfam family: Bacterial large subunit ribosomal RNA
Source: RNAcentral